UUUCAAAAUUUGCCUGUUUUUCCAGAAAAUCACUGCUGGAGUGCAUUUGAGGAGGGCUUACCUUCUGUGUAACAGCUGAGAUCAAAGAACCUUUACAUGUGCUUGCUUUUAAGCUUCUCUGAAUCCAGAGCUGGGCAGGGAGAGGCAAGAAGAAGAAGAGGCAACUCUGGAAGACUGGUUGAUCCAGUGCUGGAAAAGUGUUCCCAGGAAGCUGAUAAUACCUGUGAAAUUUGGUCCUACCAUGAAGAAAUGGUUGUUAGUAUGGCACUCCAUCCUUCAGUAAAUAUGUUCCAUGUGGAUAUUUAUAGUCCUGCCUGCUCCCUUCAGUGAGAACAGGACGUUCUUCCUCCCAUAAGCUCUGUGCAGCUGCCAGGAGAGAUGGUGGAAGCCUUUCCUCCCCUCACCUACUGUGGAUGUUCAUUGGUUUCAGUCCCACAGCCCCUGCAAUAUCCAAGGAUCUGUGUAAGUGUUUGAAAGGAUCUAAUUUAAAAAGAUAACUGUCUCUUCUAGGCAGUGCUAGUAUCCGUGGGUGAGUUUGAUUGGCUUGCAGACCAUGUGUUAAUUUCGGGGACAAGAAUAAAAAGAGGAAAAAGCCAGUCCCCA
This 603-nucleotide long non-coding RNA is filed under the name Serinus canaria (Common canary). RNAcentral's name for it is "lncRNA (ENSSCAG00000011828.1)". The record is from RNAcentral. Lineage: Eukaryota; Metazoa; Chordata; Aves; Passeriformes; Fringillidae.